This 62-nucleotide transfer RNA is filed under the name Hydrophis platurus (pelagic sea snake). Its description in RNAcentral is "tRNA-Glu". Lineage: Eukaryota; Metazoa; Chordata; Lepidosauria; Squamata; Elapidae. The record is from RNAcentral.
GUUUUUGUAGUUGAUAUACAACGGUGGUUUUUCGGGCCGCAAGACUCUAAUGAGCAAGAAUU